Molecule: non-coding RNA, 1037 nt
Organism: Musa acuminata subsp. malaccensis (wild Malaysian banana)
Lineage: Eukaryota; Viridiplantae; Streptophyta; Magnoliopsida; Zingiberales; Musaceae
Source: RefSeq, a predicted model, not a curated record
UGUAAUUUUUGAAAUACGCACGCUUGUUCGAAUGCUCUUCUAACGGCCCGCCUCCCCCAUCCCGCUCCCGAUCUCGAGAAGUCCGCCAACGCCGCCCCGGGGCCGGCGAGAGGGAAACGAUGACCGGCACGGCAGAUUCCUCAUGGCCUCGAGGAAGUGGAUCGCCACCUUUCGUAGGCCAAAACAAAUCUUGAAGAGUGCCGACUUCAGUCGGUGGUCAAUGUGGUGGGAAAGCGCUAACAUUCUUGACUCCAUGGAGAACCUAUUCUGACCUCUACUGAGAAGACAAAGGAUGUUAAGCAAAUUGUAAAAAUUGGUUCUAGAAAUCCAACAAGUUCAUGCAUGACCCUUUUGCAUAUGAUUAUACAAUUGAAUUUGUUGCUAAGGUUGUUUAUAUCAAAACUUAAGAAUAAAUGAAGAAUUGUUAUGGUUUUUAUAAUCAAGAUAUUUUCUUGCCUUUCAGUUGAUGUUGUUGUAUUAUCGUUCACUUUAGGCAAGGAAUGUUAGGAUUAUCUGAACCCCUCUCUCUACUUCUGACACAUGCCCAAAUGAAGAAAACAGGACUUUAGGUAUUUGGGAUCAUGUUCAAUAAUGUCCUUGUCUCAUGGACUUUGAAUGAAGAGGAGGAUCAAGGUCAAAUGGCUUCUGAGUUUAUCCUAUCUCCAGUCCUGUGUUUUGACAGCACUCGUUGGCGACAACUCUCGUAAAGCUCCCUUGUCCAAAUGAUGGAACUUUUUCUAUAGGAGCAGUCAGUAGCUUUGUGAUGUGUAGAUGAUGCCUUUUGCACCUCGUCCAAAGAACACCAACGAUGGUGUCCUACUUCCUAGUCUAUAUGUGAUGAUAUAUGCCAUGCACGCCUUGUCGUGGGUCCAUUCGCAUAUGCAUAUAUUAACCAUACGAAUGACAUGGUCAUCACUUCAUUGCAUGACCUUCCUGUCUCUUUGGACUACGUCGUUUGUAUUCUGUCAAGAUAUAAAUUCAAGUCAAGUAUUAAUCAUUAUGUCAUGAACUUUAUUUAUAUUUUAUUCUGAUUCUGC